RNAcentral lists this transfer-messenger RNA (356 nucleotides) under bacterium. Its description in RNAcentral is "B118-G9 sp011046365 Standard tmRNA". It matches the Rfam family "transfer-messenger RNA". From Rfam's summary of the family: Bacterial tmRNA, also known as 10Sa RNA or SsrA, is named for its dual tRNA and mRNA-like properties. The record is from RNAcentral. RNAcentral also lists the same sequence under 1 other name.
GGGGGCGAAUGGAUUCGACGGGAUUGAAGAAACGUUGAAUUGCGUGUCGUGGUUUUCAGGAGGGCCACGUUAAUAAACCUGAAACAUCACAAAUGCCAAUUCGUAUGGCACCGUUGCUUACGCUUAGUUAGGCAACCGUUCUCAUUGAAUGUUGUCUGUUGGUUUGAUGAGAGCGUCGUUUUAACAGACUAGCCCGGCACAUUGCCUGCAGGUGCUGAGCGAAACUUUAGCGGGCUGGCUUUUUCGGAAGUUUGUUUGUUGUCAACGAAAAAGCGAAACUUUACAACAAACUACACACGUAGUGGUUUAGCGCUUCUCUUUUUCGGACGGGAGUUCGAUUCUCCCCGCCUCCACGC